AAGUGCGGGCGGUGAUGAGAGCGAAAGUUGCGCUCGGCUCGGCGCUGGGGGCUUGAAGCGGCCCCGCGCUCCGCCCGCCUGGGCCGCCCCCAGCCCCCGCCGCGCCCGCCCGGCCCCGCGCCCGCCGAACCCCCCGUCCCGUUCCGGCGCCCCCUCCUCAGGAGCCGGGGUCCCCGUCACUCUCGCGCGGCCCGGGCCCCCGCUGAUGCCGACCAUGGUGGAGAAGGGCCCCGAGGUGUCAGGGAAGCGGAGAGGGAGGAACAACGCGGCCAGCGCCGCCGCCUCGACCGCCCCCGCCUCGGCCGCCUCGGCCGCCGCAGUCUCCGCCGCCGCCGCCGCCGCCGCCGCCUCCUCGGCCGCCUCGGCCGCCGCCCCCAAUAAUGGGCAGAAUAAAAGUUUGGCGGCGGCGGCGCCCAAUGGCAACAGCAGCAGCAACUCCUGGGAGGAAGGCAGCUCGGGCUCGUCCAGCGACGAGGAGCACGCCAAAUUAGCAAGACGCAGUCAAGAACGAGACAAUCUUGGCAUGCUGGUCUGGUCGCCUAAUCAGAAUCUAUCAGAAGCAAAACUGAGGAUGAACUGGAAGAAGCAAAUGGAAACAAUCCCAUUGACCUUGAGAUUGAUCAGAACAAGGAAAGCAAAAAGGAGGUGCCCCCUGCUGAGACAGUCCCUCAGAUCAAGAAAGAAAAGCAUAGCACCCAAGCCAAGAACAGAGCCAAGAGGAAACCUCCGAAAGGGAUGUUCCUCUCCCAAGAAGACGUGGAGGCCGUGUCUGCAAACGCCACCGCGGCCACCACGGUGCUGCGCCAGCUGGACAUGGAGCUGGUCUCCAUCAAGCGCCAGAUUCAGAACAUUAAACAGACCAACAGUGCUCUCAAAGAAAAACUCGACGGUGGAAUUGAGCUGUACCGACUUCCUGAGGCUGCUUCUGUUCUUGACGUCAGAUAUGCAUCUGCCUCCUGAGAAACGCAGGCAGCUUCCGCACGUGGUAUGGGCGUCUGUGUUCCCGGACAUCAGGUAUGACAAGGCUUCGCCUAGCCAUCUGCUCACAUCUGUGGACAAGCAGCUAUUACCAAAAACAGCAACACUUCCGGUCCUGUGCUACAUCUGCCUUAAUUCUUUGCUCGUUCCUCCAUGUUGGCGCCACUUCCCGGAGAGCUCCGUGCAUCUCGCUCGGUCUACGUGCUGGGAUCUUGUGGCUGCACGGCGCCCUGGCCCUGGGGCCGCUUCCCCAGGCAGAGCUCCGGGCCCCCCAUGGCAGCUCUCCCCAUCCGUCCGCAGCUUCCGAGCAGGUGGCCGACUGGAAGGCACGCCUCUUCCUGCAUGGCCUGGAUCGCUCCUCUGUGCAUCAUGUCGUUCUCAGCAACUGGACCUGUUGGCCUUCUGGGGGGGGUCUCCGGUUCCGUUCGGAGGCCCCCACCUGAGAUCAUGUUUCUGAUGUCACCGUGUGUGCAGACUGCACUGUCCCCUUCAUCGUGCCAAACGCCCCGAUUCGAUCCUGUUCCCCGGAACAGGUGCAAUGAUGGCUGAUGAAUCUAGUUGGCGUUGACCCCUCCUUCUGCCUUCCGGCUGGUAGAAAGCUGGUUCGCAGCAGCUCUCUUUGGACACGUAGCUUAAAAGGAACGUGGACUCCAUCCUCUGCCUUCAGCUCUCAGCAUCGCAGCCCCGGGAUGGAUGCCGCCCUCUUUUCCCGGCUCCCCCCAACCAGCUCCAGGAAAUUUGGUCCGUGCCCUGCACUGGUGCUUGUACACUUGGACUUGGUGCCUUCUCCUCGGGCCGCGCAUUCUCAGUCCCGUUUCUGCUUCAGCGUCGUAGCUCUUUCACGUCCAUUGCUUGCCAAAGAUGACACCACCGGGUGUGAGAGCCGCCGCCGGCCUGAGGGGCAGGCAGUCCGCACGGGAACAGAGUAGCCGGGAGGGUUUCUAAAAGUGCACGUUGCUCCCCUCCUCCUGGGCAGCCUGGCUUCUCCCUGUCACUCCACACCCCUUGGUCCUCAGGCCCUGCCCUCUCCCACAGCGUAGCACAGAGCGAGGCGGGAGCAGGUGGCCGGUGCUGAUGAGCCCACGGAGAGCACACAGCCGCAGUGGGUGCACUGCCUCUGGUUGGCCUGGGAGCCAGUGAAACUUCUAAUGAGCGUCCUGAGGCUCCCAGCGUCGCUGCGUCGCUGCUGCCCUGCGCCCGGAGCUGCUGCCCUGCGCCCGGAGCUGCUGCGGGCUGGGGGAGCCUGGCGGCCGAGCCGCUGCAGGAGCUGCCUGUGGUCCUCCCGCCAGGUGAACACUUUCCUGCUUUCGAUACCAAAAAAGAGAAGUGCGAGGCUUUAAGGCACGGAGGCAAUUCUUAAGAAUUUGAAAUAUGCAAUUAAAAUUGGAUGUGUUUUGACGCAAGCACCUUGCCUUUUUUAAGUCAGCUGAUUUUAGGAAGAGGGUCAGCUAGAAUCAUAGCUUGUUUGGAAUUGGACCUUUUGUUUAAAGGAACCUGGACAAAGGUUGUUCGGAAGGGGCAGUAAGAUGGGACUUUCUGAGCUCGCCGCCUCUGUCCCUGCACUGGGAAUCCACGCAGGUGAGCGCAGUCGGGAGGCAGAGGGCAGUCCAGCCACGGUCCUGCCUGGGCAGGGAGCGAGAUAACACUAGGAAGCACGCACGCUUGGUUUUCUCUGCAUCGCAAGCCUGCUGUGUCAUUGCAAGCGCAGGGGACCAUGGGGAGGGGUCAUACUUUUGCACAUCGCAGUAAGGGACACAGCCUGGGCAGGGGCUUUAGGCUCCUUGCUGCUUCUCAUGGUCUCCUUCCUCCCGGCCUCCUUCAUUCCCGACCUCCUUCCUCCCUGGCCUCCUUCCUCCCUGGCCUCCUUCCUCCCUGGCCUCCCUCUUCCCGGCCUCCUUCCUCCCUGGCCUCCUUCCUCCCUGAUCUCCUUCCUCCCGGCCUCCUUCCUCCCCGGCCUCGUUCCUUCCUGAGGCAGCAGGGGCCUCCUGCAGGGGCUCUCCCUCUGCCAGCAGGUUGUCCUCCCCUUGGCCCAGGCUGUGUUCCUUGGGAACUGGUCCCUGGCCGCAGGGAGCUCGGUGCCCGUCCUGCAGCGAGUCAGGGCCAGGUCUCGGCUUGCUCAGCACCACGUGCUCUUUGGUCUUCACCUGCUUCGGCGCCACCGCACUAGUCUUCCCGCGGCACCACCGCUGACAUGGGCUCUGUCUCCGAGGAAAAGGGGCCCGUGGUUUCCAUUGGCCAGAAGGAAGUGACGUCGUCUUGGCCUGGCUGCUUCCGCCCGUGUCACACCUAAGAGAGCACUGUGUGCUCAGCUGUUCUUACACUGUCUUUGCAAUGAUGUAAAUGCAAGAAACCACUUGGCUGACAGCGAGUGACUGGUCUUACCGAUGUGAAGACCCUUUUAAACAUAUCAAGACUUCGGUGCAUCACAGGUGUGCGUGGGGUGGGAGGUCAGGGACCGUGUUCCCUCAGCUUUGUCUUAAAGAGUAUCAAUGUGAAUGUCAUAAUUAUAUAUUUUUGUGGAAGAUUUCUCCUAAGUAUAAGUUAUUGUGCAAAAUAUAGUACCAUUGAAACAAAUGAUAGUUUUAGUUUAGAAAUCCUAAAAGAUAUAAAUUGUAUUACAUAUGCAUUAAAAGUUUGUUUUAUUUAAUUUUAUGUAGCUGUGUAAAGUGUUAGGUAAAGUUUUUCUCACUUCUCCAUUGAAACACCUUGUUACUUGAAUGUCGUGCUGGCUGGUUUGAAACAGUGAUCAGUUCCGUAAUGUAGCUCUUACCCAGGGAGCCGCCGCCUCCGGGACUGGUGAGUGCGGCCAGGAGCCGAGGUCGGGCGGCACCGCUGAGCAGGCUCGCUGUGUGUGCCACCCAGACGCCAGUCCCGUGAAAUGCUUUGAUAGUUUUUAACCUGUAAGACCCUUUGAUGCUCACAAACCUCUAAUCAGAACAUGAGUAUGAAAACACAAUUGGUUUACAACUUGACUCUGCAGGACAAAGUAAGCAGUUUCCUGCGUGUAUAAAGUUUCCUCAACUAUCACGCGCCUGUAAGUGUGCUCAUUGUCACUUUAAAUUCCUACUCCCCCCUAUUUUUGUCUUUCUGAAUAUCAGAUGUACUGUUGGUAUAACCGUGCACCAAAAAUAAGCCACCAGUGCGUCCCACUGGCCGGACCUGCCGGGGCACAGGAGGUGGAGCCGCCGUCCUCUUGCUGAACCCUAGGACCCAGGAUUCAAGCUUUUGUUCUGUUUUUAUGCAUUAUUUUAUUUAUAUUCAUAUCUGAAUCCCAAAUUUAUAAAAUAGCUCUAAACCUGUAUUCCACAACUAAACAUGACACUUUAAGUUAUUACCGUUACGCCAUCGAUGAGUUCGUUUUCAAGCCACCGAACCGUGUGCCAGAGGGUCUUUCCUCUGCUUUGCAGGUAACGGCAUUGCCACCAACUGUGUUCUUCAUGGUUUGGGCCCUUUGGCCAAAAAGGCGUAUAGGUCUUGUUUCAGGUUCAUUGUAGGAUGAUGGAGAGCAGCGAUUUCAGUGGUGGUUCCAUCGUCCGCCUCGGGAGUCCUGAAGCCUUCUUGUCCUUUUACCGGCUCCAUAUGGAGCGUAGCACCACCCUCGGCCCAGCGAAGCGGCCUGCCCAGAGCAGAGAGCGCCCUUGGCUGCUUCACGAGCUUCCCUCCCCACCAGCCAGACCCGUCCCGCCGGGCUCUGCUCUUGUUUCCCGAUGAGAAGGGGCUGGGGCGCCUUCCUCGGUGGUGGAGCCUCAUUGGACCCCAUCAGCCGCUCACGCGCCCUUCACACGCGGACUUGGCUUUUAUCGUCAUGAGCCGAAAGAUGCCUCGCACUGUUCUGGGAAUAAUGCCCAUGCCUCUGGGCCAUGACGUUUUCCCUCCGCUGUUGUCUUCCCAGAGGAUGUCUGUCCACGCAAACACGGUUCCCUCAUUCCCCUCCAGGACACGCUUCACCGCCCUCGGCGCAGCCCGGUCCGGAGACGCGCUGGACUGGAAGGCCCGGGCCAGUGCACACGGCUGGGCGCCAUCAGGACCGCGUCUUCUGACACUUGGGGGUGAACCGCUCAGUCCUGGAGGAAGCAGGUGGUGGCAGCGGGUCCAGGGCCUCAAGGCUGAGAGUGAUCCGCGCUGGCUCCCCCGCACCGGCCUGGGCAGACUGCAGGGCCCAGGGGUUCUGGAGGUUGGGAAGGUGGUUCCCUCCUUCCUCGGAGAGGGCAGAGCCCCCACUUCUCCCCACCCCACCGUCUGCUUGCCGGCUGCCCCACCCCUACCCCCACCCCCAGGCACUCCUAAAGCCCAGACUCCGGCUUUUAAUCAUGUGCAGCUUUGCCUCAAGCCGAGGCCUGCGAGGCCCAGCAGCGGGCACCCCUGCGCCUGCGCCCGCCUUUCCUCACCAGCUGAAGCACAGCCGCCUGCUCAGCGGAUGCCCCGUCGGUGCUCCCAGCCACCGGUGUGCACAGGCCCCUCCCGGAGCCGACAGCCCGCACAGGCCCAGCUCGGCCGAGUGCUUUGUAAGUUGCUAAAAACUUCAGGAUUUUAAAAGAUGUGCAAGGCUAAGUUUGACACGAUCGUCGAAUUGCUGUAUAUCUUUUCAAGUGAUGAAGCCCGCCUGGGGAUUUUAAAGAAAAGAAGCUGCACUCUGCUGUGUGAGGAAUAUUUGACUGUCUCCGCCUGUUUUCUGUCUCAGUACUCAUGAUUAUGGUGACUGUUCAUAGCAUGAUCAUUGCUUAGCCGUCGGAGGAUAACAUUUGUUAGUGGAGAUCGGGAAAAUUUAUUUGUGCGAUUCUGCAGAGUUCAUUUUUCUAUUCCCAAUAUUUGCUGAAGUUAAAUAAAAAUUUUCAAGCCAUUGAUGUAAUAAAA
This is an RNA transcript of Myotis myotis, 5832 nucleotides long. It is a transcript of the gene named REST corepressor 1, with no coding region annotated. The record is from RefSeq and is a predicted model, not a curated record. The transcript has 7 exons. Lineage: Eukaryota; Metazoa; Chordata; Mammalia; Chiroptera; Vespertilionidae.